GACGAACGCUGGCGGCGUGCCUAAUACAUGCAAGUAGAACGCUGAAGGAGGAGCUUGCUUCUCUGGAUGAGUUGCGAACGGGUGAGUAACGCGUAGGUAACCUGCCUGGUAGCGGGGGAUAACUAUUGGAAACGAUAGCUAAUACCGCAUAAGAGUAGAUGUCGCAUGACAUUUGCUUAAAAGGUGCAAUUGCAUCACUACCAGAUGGACCUGCGUUGUAUUAGCUAGUUGGUGAGGUAACGGCUCACCAAGGCAACGAUACAUAGCCGACCUGAGAGGGUGAUCGGCCACACUGGGACUGGGACACGGCCCAGACUCCUACGGGAGGCAGCAGUAGGGAAUCUUCGGCAAUGGAUGGAAGUCUGACCGAGCAACGCCGCGUGAGUGAAGAAGGUUUUCGGAUCGUAAAGCUCUGUUGUAAGAGAAGAACGAGUGUGAGAGUGGAAAGUUCACACUGUGACGGUAUCUUACCAGAAAGGGACGGCUAACUACGUG
RNAcentral lists this ribosomal RNA (495 nucleotides) under uncultured bacterium. Its description in RNAcentral is "partial 16S ribosomal RNA". It matches the Rfam family "Bacterial small subunit ribosomal RNA", at positions 28 to 507 of the family's 1533-position model. The record is from RNAcentral.